Non-coding RNA from Pseudonaja textilis, 92 nucleotides. The record is from RefSeq and is a predicted model, not a curated record. Lineage: Eukaryota; Metazoa; Chordata; Lepidosauria; Squamata; Elapidae.
AGUGAAACCAGGCUCAAUAGCAGUAACUGUGAGAGGCAUCUUGGACUCCUAGUGGACAGCCAAUUAAAUAUGCACUAGCAGUGCUCUGCAAC